This 640-nucleotide ribosomal RNA is filed under the name Kribbella sp. I12A-02687. RNAcentral's name for it is "bacterial SSU rRNA". It matches the Rfam family "Bacterial small subunit ribosomal RNA", at positions 88 to 742 of the family's 1533-position model. Lineage: Bacteria; Bacillati; Actinomycetota; Actinomycetes; Propionibacteriales; Kribbellaceae. The record is from RNAcentral.
UACACGAGCGGCGAACGGGUGAGUAACACGUGAGCAACCUACCCUCAACUUCGGGAUAAGCCUCGGAAACGGGGUCUAAUACCGGAUAUCACUUCCUGCUUCAUGGUGGGGGGUUGAAAGUUCUGGCGGUUGGGGAUGGGCUCGCGGCCUAUCAGCUUGUUGGUGGGGUAAUGGCCUACCAAGGCGUCGACGGGUAGCCGGCCUGAGAGGGCGACCGGCCACACUGGGACUGAGACACGGCCCAGACUCCUACGGGAGGCAGCAGUGGGGAAUAUUGCGCAAUGGACGAAAGUCUGACGCAGCAACGCCGCGUGAGGGAUGACGGCCUUCGGGUUGUAAACCUCUUUCAGCAGGGACGAAGCGAGAGUGACGGUACCUGCAGAAGAAGGACCGGCCAACUACGUGCCAGCAGCCGCGGUAAUACGUAGGGUCCGAGCGUUGUCCGGAAUUAUUGGGCGUAAAGGGCUCGUAGGCGGUUCGUCACGUCGGGAGUGAAAACUCGGAGCUUAACUCCGAGCCUGCUUCCGAUACGGGCAGACUAGAGGUAGGCAGGGGAGAGCGGAACUCCUGGUGUAGCGGUGGAAUGCGCAGAUAUCAGGAAGAACACCGGUGGCGAAGGCGGCUCUCUGGGCCUUACCUG